GAAGUGAGUGAAAUCAAGUGCCUUGCUCUAUGUUAGGUGUUAGAGGAGGAAUGCAGAAGAUGGACUUCUUUGCAAAGAGCCUUCAGGUAGGCUUCAGAGUGCAGAAGCCUCUGGGUCUUUGGUGGAGGAGCGACGAACAUUGGCGUCGUGGGCUGCUGCAUGACCGGCUGGCCCGCGGGACUCUGGCCAGGAUACGGGGGUGGCGCUGGCUGGCCAGGAGGGCCGAGAAUUCCCAUCUGAAAUGGGACACGGUUACAGAGUGAGGACACUCAGCAGUCAUCUCUGCCGGCUUGGUUCAACGGGACAGACACCCUCCCACCCAGAAGAGGCAAGAGAUCAAAAAGCGUCAGAGCACGGUGAGAGAAUGAGAGAAGCUCUGAAACACAACAAAAUCAUUUACCUGUUGCCCAUAUGGGCCUCCUCCUGGAGUUGGAGUUCCUACCAUGGGGGACACUCCUUGGCCCAUAACACCUAUGUUUUAAAUGCAAUACACACAAUUAGGUCCUGGAAUUACAAUCAUCGAAAACUACCAUCUUUGAUAAGAGACUCGUUUCCCCCUGCCAGCCUAGUAUGUCUUUCUCUGCCUUUGGAUUUUUGUUGCAAGAAGAACUAUACACCCUGCCCAAGGUGCAACAUUUUAAUACUCAAAAGUUAACAGAUUUUUUUGGGGGGCGGAGGGGGGAUAAGGGUGUUUUAAAAUUUUUUACCCAGAGUACAAAUUUAAAAUAAAUAUCUGGUAACAUUAAAAAAAUUAAUUGCUUUUCCCUCUCA
Molecule: long non-coding RNA, 771 nt
Organism: Ornithorhynchus anatinus (platypus)
Lineage: Eukaryota; Metazoa; Chordata; Mammalia; Monotremata; Ornithorhynchidae
Exons: 2
Source: RefSeq, a predicted model, not a curated record